CCUACGGGUGGCAGCAGUGGGGAAUAUUGCACAAUGGGGGAAACCCUGAUGCAGCGACGCCGCGUGAGUGAAGAAGUAUUUCGGUACGUAAAGCUCUAUCAGCAGGGAAGAAAAAAAGUCCUUUGGACUUUGGACGGUACCUGACUAAGAAGCCCCGGCUAACUACGUGCCAGCAGCCGCGGUAAUACGUAGGGGGCAAGCGUUAUCCGGAUUUACUGGGUGUAAAGGGAGCGUAGACGGCAGCGCAAGGCUGGAGGUAAAAGCCGGGGCCCAACCCCGGAACUGCUUUGGAAACUGGGCAGCUGGAGAGGAGGAGAGGUAUGCGGAAUUCGUAGUGUAGCGGUGAAAUGCGUAGAUAUUAGGAGGAACACCAGUGGCGAAGGCAGCUUACUGGACGGUAACUGACGUUGAGGCUCGAAAGCGUGGGGAGCAAACAGGAUUAGAUACCCCUGUAGUC
RNAcentral lists this ribosomal RNA (457 nucleotides) under uncultured bacterium. RNAcentral's name for it is "partial 16S ribosomal RNA". It matches the Rfam family "Bacterial small subunit ribosomal RNA", at positions 338 to 795 of the family's 1533-position model. The record is from RNAcentral.